AUGGCGACCGGCGCACGGGUGAGUAACACGUAUCCAACCUACCCAUGACUCGGGGAUAGCCUUUCGAAAGAAAGAUUAAUACCCGAUGGUAUAUAUUUCCUGCAUGGGGAAUAUAUUAAAGAAUUUCGGUGAUGGAUGGGGAUGCGUUCCAUUAGUUUGUUGGCGGGGUAACGGCCCACCAAGACUUCGAUGGAUAGGGGUUCUGAGAGGAAGGUCCCCCACAUUGGAACUGAGACACGGUCCAAACUCCUACGGGAGGCAGCAGUGAGGAAUAUUGGUCAAUGGACGAGAGUCUGAACCAGCCAAGUAGCGUGAAGGAUGACUGCCCUUUGGGUUGUAAACUUCUUUUAUAUGGGAAUAAAGUGGGGUAUGCAUACCCUUUUGUAUGUACCAUUAUGAAUAAGCAUCGGCUAACUCCGUGCCAGCAGCCGCGGUAAUACGGAGGAUGCGAGCGUUAUCCGGAUUUAUUGGGUUUAAAGGGAGCGUAGGUGGGCGAUUAAGUCAGUUGUGAAAGUUUGGGGCUCAACCUUAAAAUUGCAGUUGAUACUGAUUGCCUUGAGUGCGUU
This 566-nucleotide ribosomal RNA is filed under the name uncultured Parabacteroides sp. RNAcentral's name for it is "bacterial SSU rRNA". It matches the Rfam family "Bacterial small subunit ribosomal RNA", at positions 88 to 652 of the family's 1533-position model. Lineage: Bacteria; Pseudomonadati; Bacteroidota; Bacteroidia; Bacteroidales; Tannerellaceae. The record is from RNAcentral.